RNAcentral lists this ribosomal RNA (376 nucleotides) under uncultured bacterium. RNAcentral describes it as "bacterial SSU rRNA". It matches the Rfam family "Bacterial small subunit ribosomal RNA", at positions 521 to 896 of the family's 1533-position model. The record is from RNAcentral.
UAAGACGAACCGUGCGAACGUUGUUCGGAAUCACUGGGCUUAAAGGGCGCGUAGGCGGGCGAUCAAGUCCGGGGUGAAAGCUUUCGGCUCAACCGGAAAAGGGCCUUGGAUACUGAUCGUCUGGAGGGAGGUAGGGGUCCGUGGAACUUCCGGUGGAGCGGUGAAAUGCGUUGAUAUCGGAAGGAACGCCGGUGGCGAAAGCGACGGACUGGAUCUCUUCUGACGCUGAGGCGCGAAAGCCAGGGGAGCAAACGGGAUUAGAUACCCCGGUAGUCCUGGCCCUAAACGAUGGGUACUAGGUAGCGGACUUGACAUGGGUUCGCUGCCGAAGCCAAAGUGCUAAGUACCCCGCCUGGGGAGUAUGGUCGCAAGGCUG